This 450-nucleotide ribosomal RNA is filed under the name uncultured bacterium. RNAcentral's name for it is "bacterial SSU rRNA". It matches the Rfam family "Bacterial small subunit ribosomal RNA", at positions 354 to 796 of the family's 1533-position model. The record is from RNAcentral.
GUGGGGAAUAUUGGACAAUGGGCGAAAGCCUGAUCCAGCCAUGCCGCGUGUGUGAAGAAGGUCUUCGGAUUGUAAAGCACUUUAAGUUGGGAGGAAGGGCAGUAAGUUAAUACCUUGCUGUUUUGACGUUACCGACAGAAUAAGCACCGGCUAACUUCGUGCCAGCAGCCGCGGUAAUACGAAGGGUGCAAGCGUUAAUCGGAAUUACUGGGCGUAAAGCGCGCGUAGGUGGUUUUGUAAGUUGGAGGUGAAAUCCCCGGGCUCAACCUGGGAACUGCCUCCAAAACUGCAUGACUAGAGUAUGGUAGAGGGUAGUGGAAUUUCCUGUGUAGCGGUGAAAUGCGUAGAUAUAGGAAGGAACACCAGUGGCGAAGGCGACUACCUGGACUGAUACUGACACUGAGGUGCGAAAGCGUGGGGAGCAAACAGGAUUAGAAACCCCGGUAGUCC